CUUCAACACGGUCAUUUCUUACACUUCCACUAGUCUGCUCUACAAGAAUGACAAUCAUGCAAACCAGUGCUAUGGAAACUGCCAACUACUGGAUGGUUCUAGAAGGUUGUGGGGCCUAGGGCCAGCUACCUCCAAGAGCUUCAGGCCAAAGAAACCUUUUCAGAAGUAAAUCCCACCUCCACUUAGGGUCUACAGGAUGUAGUACUUUUUGCUCAUCAUACUUCAGCUAUUGCUUUAAAAGAGGCCCCUUCUGGGCCCAGCUGGGCUUUUUGUGUGCUUUCUAAGAAGCAGAUUCUUGGAGGUGGAGCCCUGAAAAAAAAUUCAGCUUUGAAGUCUUAGGUAUGGAUGACCAAGGAUGCAUACAAAGACCGCCCCUGAAAGACUCCCCAAAGAGCUUUCAGACCAAGAAUAUUCACUGAGGCUGGAGAAAGCUCCUGCAAAAAGGACA
This is a long non-coding RNA of Passer domesticus (house sparrow), 448 nucleotides long. RefSeq lists it as uncharacterized. NCBI's taxonomy places the organism in Eukaryota, Metazoa, Chordata, Aves, Passeriformes, Passeridae. The record is from RefSeq and is a predicted model, not a curated record. The transcript has 3 exons.